UCAAAAACAUCGCCUCUUGAUAAAAUAUAAGAGGUCCAGCCUGCCCAGUGACCUAGUUCAACGGCCGCGGUAUCCUAACCGUGCGAAGGUAGCGUAAUCACUUGUUCUUUAAAUGAGGACUAGUAUGAAUGGCACCACGAGGGUUAAGCUGUCUCCUUUUUCUAAUCAGUGAAACUAAUCUCCCCGUGAAGAAGCGGGGAUUAUACUAUAAGACGAGAAGACCCUAUGGAGCUUAAAACAAAUUAACACUUGCUUCUAUCCAUUUUUACUCCUGAACUAACACAUAAAAUAUAGCAUCGUUGAUUAAUAGUUUUCGAUUGGGGUGAUCAUGGAGUAAAAACCAACCUCCACGACGAAAAGGAACACUUCCCUGAGCUAAAAGCUACAACUUUAAGCACUAAAAAAUUAACGCACUUUGACCCAAAUUUUUGAGCAACGAACCAAGUUACCCUAGGGAUAACAGCGCAAUCCAUUUCAAGAGCCCCUAUCGACAAUAUGGGUUUACGACCUCGAUGUUGGAUCAGGGUAUCCCAGUGGUGCAGCCGCUACUAAAGGUUCGUUUGUUCAACGAUUAAAACCCUACGUGAUCU
This 590-nucleotide ribosomal RNA is filed under the name Boana albopunctata (spotted treefrog). RNAcentral describes it as "partial 16S ribosomal RNA". It matches the Rfam family "Bacterial large subunit ribosomal RNA", at positions 1807 to 2606 of the family's 2925-position model. Lineage: Eukaryota; Metazoa; Chordata; Amphibia; Anura; Hylidae. The record is from RNAcentral.